CGUCAAAUAGGCUAGGCUGUAAUAUUAGGUAAAAUCUAAUUUCAGUUUGGUUAUCACAUAGCGUUCAUUUCCCUAAGGGAGGAGAAAAAAUUAAAUUUGUAAGCUUAAGAUUCCAGCUGAAGUACUCAAGAAUCCUGUUUCUCUGACAGAGGAAAGGAACAACAACUUGACUGGACACAUCCUAACCCAACCAUACGCUGUGUUACUUCCUCCACUGCGCCACACACAGCUAUUAUUCUAAGCUCUCUUAUUCAAACCCUUAAGGAUUUGUAAGGAGAACACUAAGAAGAUGGGCAGAAAUCAAAGCUUCCUGGUGUGAGGUUGUGGUAGAAGAUUCCUGGUUGAUCAAUGUAUAGAAGAUGGAAAUGGAUUCCAGUUGUGGGAAGGAAGAACUCCUGACCAACUGGAAGAGAGUUCCUACCACAGAAAGAAAGGCAGCCAAGAACACAAUGUCCCGACCUAGCUCUUGGAAGUACUAAAUUUCAUCACGGAAACCACAGCCUCAAGGACAGAGGACUUAUCCAGAGUCAUCAAAUCUAUCGCUUUUUCUGCUUUCUGUUUUCUCUGAAAGAGCCGUGAAUGAUGAGACGACAAAAUAUUGGAUUAUUUGUGCUCUUGAAACAGAUGCCACCUGAGUUGUGACAGAGAUGGAAAUCUAGAAUUUCUUGCAGCUUGGCAGCAUAGGAGCCAAUGGGGUAGCAAUGUGAAAGUCAAGAAGUACACCUCAUCUCCAGGACAGCAAGAGUGAUCCCUGCCUGACAAUG
Molecule: long non-coding RNA, 764 nt
Filed under: Homo sapiens (human)
Lineage: Eukaryota; Metazoa; Chordata; Mammalia; Primates; Hominidae
Description: HSALNT0347339
Source: RNAcentral